UACGAAGGGUGCAAACGUUGCUCGGAAUUAUUGGGCGUAAAGCGCACGUAGGCGGCUCUGCAAGUCGGAUGUGAAAUCCCUCGGCUUAACCGGGGAACUGCGUCUGAUACUGGACGGCUUGAGUUUGGGAGAGGGACGCGGAAUUCCAGGUGUAGCGGUGAAAUGCGUAGAUAUCUGGAGGAAUACCGGUGGCGAAGGCGGCAUCCUGGACCGGCAUUGACGCUGAUGAGCGAAAGCUAGGGGAGCAAACGGG
RNAcentral lists this ribosomal RNA (253 nucleotides) under uncultured bacterium. Its description in RNAcentral is "partial 16S ribosomal RNA". It matches the Rfam family "Bacterial small subunit ribosomal RNA", at positions 524 to 776 of the family's 1533-position model. The record is from RNAcentral.